RNAcentral lists this ribosomal RNA (425 nucleotides) under uncultured bacterium. RNAcentral's name for it is "partial 16S ribosomal RNA". It matches the Rfam family "Bacterial small subunit ribosomal RNA", at positions 354 to 796 of the family's 1533-position model. The record is from RNAcentral.
GUGGGGAAUCUUGCGCAAUGGGCGAAAGCCUGACGCAGCCAUGCCGCGUGAAUGAUGAAGGUCUUAGGAUUGUAAAAUUCUUUCACCGGGGACGAUAAUGACGGUACCCGGAGAAGAAGCCCCGGCUAACUUCGUGCCAGCAGCCGCGGUAAUACGAAGGGGGCUAGCGUUGCUCGGAAUUACUGGGCGUAAAGGGCGCGUAGGCGGACAGUUUAGUCAGAGGUGAAAGCCCAGGGCUCAACCUUGGAAUUGCCUUUGAUACUGGCUGUCUUGAGUACGGGAGAGGUGAGUGGAACGCCGAGUGUAGAGGUGAAAUUCGUAGAUAUUCGGAAGAACACCAGUGGCGAAGGCGACUCACUGGCCCGUUACUGACGCUGAGGCGCGAAAGCGUGGGGAGCAAACAGGAUUAGAUACCCCAGUAGUCC